CCUACGGGAGGCUGCAGUGGGGAAUAUUGCGCCAUGGUCGAAAGCCUGACGCAGCGACGCCGCGUGAAGGAUGAAGGUCUUCGGAUCGUAAACCUCUGUCAGCAGGGAAGAACGGUCCCUGUGCUAAUCAGCAGUGAAUUUACAGUACCUGAAAAGGAAGCACCGGCUAACUCCGUCCCCGCCGCCUGGGUAAUACGGAGGGUGCGAGCGUUGAUCGGAAUUAAUGUAUGUAACGAGCUCGUAGGGGGUAUGUCAAGGCAAGGUGGAAAUGCCCGCGCUCAACGGGGGAACGGCCUCUGAAACUGGCAAACUGGAGUGUGUGAGAGGAUAGUGGAAUUCCAGGUGUAGGAGUGAAAUCCGUAGAUAUCUGGAGGAACAUCAGUUGCGAAGGCGACUAGCUGGCACAUAACUGACGCUGAGGAGCGAAAGCGUGGGUAGCAAACAGGAUUAGAUACCCUGGUAGUC
This 465-nucleotide ribosomal RNA is filed under the name uncultured bacterium. Its description in RNAcentral is "partial 16S ribosomal RNA". It matches the Rfam family "Bacterial small subunit ribosomal RNA", at positions 338 to 795 of the family's 1533-position model. The record is from RNAcentral.